RNAcentral lists this non-coding RNA (778 nucleotides) under Niphonyx segregata. Lineage: Eukaryota; Metazoa; Arthropoda; Insecta; Lepidoptera; Noctuidae. The record is from RNAcentral.
UAAAAAUUUUUUAUAGUUUAAAAAUUUUAUUAAAAAUUUAUUUUACAUAUAAAUUUUGGUAUUAAAUUAAUUUAUUUUAAAAAUAAUUUAAUUAAAAUAGUAGUAAUUAAUAUUAAAUAUUUAAGAAAUUAAGAUUUAGUAAUAUUUUAAUUAAUAACAAAUUUUGUGCCAGCAGUUGCGGUUAUACAAAAAUUAAAUUAAAUUUUGUUAGUAAUUAAUUAAUAAUUUAUUUUAUAAUAUAAAAAUUAAAUUAUUAGGUGAAAUUUUAAUUUGGUUAAAUUUUAUAAUAAAAUUAUGAUUUAAUAAAUUUUAUUAAAAACUAGGAUUAGAUACCCUAUUAUUAAAAUUUAAAUAAAAAAUACUAAAAUAGUAGAUAAUUAUUUAUUGAAACUUAAAUAAUUUGGCGGUAUUUUAGUUCAUUUAGAGGAAUCUGUUUAGUAAUUGAUAUUCCACGAAUAAAACUACUUAAAUUAUAAUUUUGUAUAUCGUUGUUAGAAAAAUAUUUUUUAAUAAAAUUAAUAUUUAAGAAUUAAAAUUAAAAUUUAAAUCAGAUCAAGAUGCAGAUUAUAUUUAAGAUUAUAAUGGAUUACAAUAAAUUUAUUUAAAUGAAUAUUAAUUUGUAAAAAUUAAUUGAAAGUGGAUUUAAAUGUAAUUUUAUUUAUUUUAAUAAAAUGAUUAAUAAUUAAAAUAUGUACAUAUUGCCCGUCGCUUUCAUAUAAAUAUAAGUUGAAAUAAGUCGUAACAAAGUAGAGGUACUGGAAAGUGUUUCUAGAAAGAA